AUGCAACACUUUGAGGACAGAACAGGCAAGCUGUCUAACUCCCCUCUCAUUGAAGCUGCUAGUUUGUCGAUAUUGACCAAAGUAUCAUUGGUUAUUUCUGCCAUCUAUUCACCUCACUGCUUCAACUAUUUCAACACUUGUAAAUCUGCAGGUAAAUUAAGAAAGAACAGCUAAAUAUUCCGUUAUCUCUCGACAUUAAUGUUUCUCUUUCAGGGCCUGCAAGGAAAAUCCAGUAAAUUGACAAGGUGGGAGUAAUAGUAAAUAACAGUUAUGCUGGAGGAAACUUUCUGCUGUGCAUAACUUUACUUUUUCCAGAACCAUGAAUGGUCAAGUCGAGUAUAAGCACACGGAAAAGAAAACAUCUUGAAGGCAUACAGAACAAGAUACAGAUCCAAUCUUCAAAUAUAAAGGAAAAGCCAAAGCACAAUUAUGCACACCAAUCUUCCUUACCUACAAAGUGGGGUGAGAUCCUACUUGCGUACCUGGAACUCUUGACUCAAGCCCUUGAGGAGGUAGCUAGCUCUUUUCUACUAGAUUUCUGCUAGUCAAUGGCUCCAUUUUCCAAUUCUCAAUGCAUUAUGAGAGAGAGCUCUACUUGACCUCGCAAGUCUUUCUUUAUGCCCUAUCGCUAUUGAUUUUGCUACUCGCAAGUCUCUCCCAAUGCAUUAUGAGAGAGAGCUCUACUUGACCUCGCAAGUCUUUCUUUAUGCCCUAUCGCUAUUGAUUUUGCUACUCGCAAGUCUCUCUCAAUGCAUUAUGAGAGAGCUCUACUUGACCUCGCAAGUCUUUCUUUAUGCCCUAUCGCUAUUGAUUUUGCUACUCGC
RNAcentral lists this long non-coding RNA (824 nucleotides) under Populus tremula. Its description in RNAcentral is "long non-coding RNA (PTRE_LNC001565)". Lineage: Eukaryota; Viridiplantae; Streptophyta; Magnoliopsida; Malpighiales; Salicaceae. The record is from RNAcentral.